CCGCUCCUUCGAUGAGCUUCUGUCUCCCCGGAAAGGGAAGAAGAAAAAACGAAAGUCUGAACGGAGGAGGAAAAGAAGCAGGUCUCCUUCACACAGCCUGCCCCCUCUAAGGAAGAAGAAAAAGAAGAAGAAGAAGAGUUCCAAGAAAAGCAAAGGACACAGGUAGAUCUUUAAAAAAGGAAACGAACAUGAAAAACCUGCUCCAACAUUUAUUUUAUCUGAUCAAAUCUGUUGUUCUUUUUAAUAAAUAUUUCAGGUGUACCUCAAAGAAGUCAAAACACAGGUAAAGGAUUUAUUUUUAUUGGUAAAAAAAACUCUGUUCCUGCGUUUGUUGCUAUCAUGCCUGCAGCACCGACAUCUAGGAAUCAGAGCAGCAGCUUUGUUGGUAUCAAAGCCAGCAGCUCACGGUUCUGUCCUCUUUCAUCCUGCAGCUCUUCAAGUUUAAAGCAUAAGCAUAGGAGGGAUGAACGGAAGCACAAGAAAAGUUCUCGGAUUCGCAAACAUCGGAGACGACGCGAUCGGAGGUUGCGGUCGGAUACUUCCUGCUGCCAUUCCAAAACAGAGGACAGAUAUCCUCUGCAUAAGUCUGUGGUUCAUCAGGCUUUUAGAGACCUAGCAGCUGUUGAAGAGGAAGCCAGAGCAGCCCUGAGCCACACGGACACCAGACCACCAACCAAAUCUGUUUGUACCGCGGCUCCAAAAUAUCGCUCCGUCCUCUCGGCCAGCGCCAUUUUGCCCUCAAAUCCUGGAAAAGUGCUUUUCAACGGAAGCAGAGCUCAAAAUUUGCCAAACUGCAGAGAAGGUCCGCAUGAUUAUGAUUCUGGUAAUGACACAUCUUCACCUCCAUCAAGCAAAACCGGUGUUUCCCAAGGGAGCGCCGCUGAGUAUGCCAGGACCGGACGUGUGGCCUCGGCGUUCAGAGACAGCGCCUCGGAUUCAGGGAACUCUGUGACCAGCUUUGCAUCUUCCUGCAAACCUUUCGGGGAAACCAGCCUGUCUGCAACCCUCUGCAAUCAAAUCAGGAACAGGGAGCAGAUAACCUUGGGGUGUCACGUAGAGGUUGUCGGAUCGUCUGAGUCAACCAGCUGUGAAUCGAGGAGGAGGAGGGGUUCGUCUCGGACAAAAGGUCGCUCUUCCACCAGCAGGAGCAGAUCCUCAGGGAGUUCCAAAUACUUGGGACGCUAUUCCAGAAGCUCCUCGUUGUCUUCUCGCAGCUCGUACUCACGAUCCCCCAGUCACUCAGAUGUCAGGCGAAGAGGCAGCAUGAGCAGCCUGAGCUCCAGAGGAAGCUACUCCAGACACAGUGAUGACAGACUUUCAGACAGAAAGAGACGAGCAGACUCCAGAGAGACAGACGCAAAGCAAGGCCGCAAAGUCAGGAAGCGAGGAAGGCGCAAAUCCUACACUCCCAUGAGGAAGAGGAGGAGGGACUCGCCGAGUCAUCUAGAAGCUCGGCGCAUCACAAGGUGGGUUGAUUUUUUAUUUACGCCGUACACUUUUUAGUUCAGAAAUCACAGUUAGGAUUAUUAUAUUAUAUUUUGGUGUGUGAACUUUUGUUGUGAUUAUUGUUAUUACAAUUAUUUGUGUUAUUUAUUUAUUUUAUGUAAAGCACUUUGACGUGUUUUGCAAAGGAGAAAAAUGUUCUUUAAAGUUGAUUUAGACAAAUACAGUUCAAACUUUUAAUCUGCUUUUAGCCAUAAGGUUUGCAGAAAAAAAAAAUCACAAUGUGAUUUACCUGAAACUUUACCGGAAUCAUAUUUAUGUAGGAAUGCUAAAAUAAAUCAACUAUGUGAGAUUUUACAGAAACAGAAAUCACGAAGAACAUGAACAUUUUCACAGAAAAUUGAUCUAAAGUAAGAGCAGCUCCAAAGCCGAGUCCCACUUGCAGCUGCCUGGGCCUCAAGGAGAAGCAAUUGAUCUAAAAUAUGGGAAAUCUGUGUGAUUUGGUGUCAACAGAGGGGUUCCCAAUACGCUGAUCAAGAUCGAUAGACCGAUUGCGAUUGGGGACCAACAGAUAAGAAUAUAUUUUUAGAAGUUGCCAUUAGCCAAUGAUCAUCCUCGCCAUGAAGUAUGUCGCUUGAUUGACCUGCAGACCACCCAAUCAAACAUUCUCUGACACAUGCCUGUGUGUUUGACGACGCUGAGGGCCAGAUCCCAGUUUUUCUUCCUCCUAAACUUCGGAAAGGUGUGAGCGUUCAGCGUCAGACUCCUAAACGUGGAUGUAGCUGCUAAUGCGCCUUAUUCCGACACUUUAACAGAACCUCCAAGAGAACGCACACAGAACAUUUCUGUUGUCGCCGUUGACAUGACAACCAACACACAGGUGGAAUUCAUCAAGAUAUAAAAGGAAAAAUGACAGAGGACUUUUAAUUGUGUUGUAAUCUAAGAUGCAUCUAAAUGUAUCUCU
Molecule: long non-coding RNA, 2407 nt
Filed under: Oryzias sinensis (Chinese medaka)
Lineage: Eukaryota; Metazoa; Chordata; Actinopteri; Beloniformes; Adrianichthyidae
Description: lncRNA (ENSOSIG00000000447.1)
Source: RNAcentral